RNAcentral lists this ribosomal RNA (488 nucleotides) under uncultured bacterium. RNAcentral describes it as "partial 16S ribosomal RNA". It matches the Rfam family "Bacterial small subunit ribosomal RNA", at positions 28 to 507 of the family's 1533-position model. The record is from RNAcentral.
GACGAACGCUGGCGGCGUGCUUAACAAAUGCAAGUCGACCGGAAGGGCCCCCAUUUUGGUGGGGGUGCCGGGUGGCGAAAGGGGUGGUUAACAGUGGGUUAUUCUCCCCUUUAUUUGGGGAUAGCCUGGGAAAAUGGGGUUUAAUCCGGGAUGGACCAAGGUUUAGUUUUCUCUGGGGGGAAGAUUUAUUUUUUUGUUCAGGAUUAGCCCGCGGGCUAUCAGCUUGUUGGUGGGGUAAUGGCCUACCAAGGCGUCGACGGGUAGCCGGCCUGAGAGGGUGGACGGCCACAUUGGGACUGAGAUACGGCCCAGACUCCUACGGGAGGCAGCAGUGGGGAAUAUUGCACAAUGGGCGCAAGCCUGAUGCAGCGACGCCGCGUGGGGGAUGACGGCCUUCGGGUUGUAAACUCCUUUCGUUAGGGACGAAGCCGCACUUUUUUUGGGUGUGGUGACGGUACCUUUGUUAAGAAGCACCGGCUAACUACGUG